CUUCAAACUUCAUCAUUUGUGAUUGGCUUAUAAAAAUAAAUCCCGCUGCAGGCCCCGUGCGUUCGUGGUGACCUCAAUAUGCACCAUCUUGCAUGUGUGCAGUUGGAAAUAACUAUGACAUGCCUAGAUUGCAUGUCGGUUUGUAAAUGACCUAAACAAUUUGCAUACAACCUUUGAGAAGAGUCAAGCGGACGACGACUCACAAAGCUCAUAUUUUGAUAAAAUACAACCAUGGACACACGCCUAAUAGGCAAAUGGACAACAUUAAACGCGGCGACAUGCUAUGUUUUCUGAAUGGAGUGUAUACGGUGACUAUAGCGUGCUUCUUAUGGGGAUUACUUAUUCGUAUAUGGAUUAUUGUACAUUCAACGUUCGUUUCAUUGUACACCUAUAUGCUCCAUAACAAACUAUCGAAUACUCGCCAAUAUUUGCCAUCUGAUAAACGCAAGUAAAACUAGUGAAUGAUUAUACGUGACCUAUGACCUAUCGUCUGUCGUUAUGAUGAUUAAAGCACACUCAAGUUGUCUUAAAAGGUGCUGUUACCAACGUUUGCUUAUAAUCGGAUGUCUGUAUUUUGGCACCUUUUCUGAUUAAAUAUCUCGUCUAUCUCAAAUGUGGCGUCGCCAAGCAAAGAAAGUAUGCCCCUGGAGUGUAGAAAAGGCGUCACAGCAUAUAUGUUAAGCUAAAGAUAAAGAAAUACUAACUCCGUCAAAAAAAACCUCAAGUUUUAUAGAGAGAAAAAAUCUCUCAAAAACUCGGUGACAAGAGCAAUAACUUAAAAAUACCCCAAAACUGUUAACCGACGGACAGAUCAACACGUGUGACAACAUGAUACUCCAACGUGUGGACAUAUACAAAUUAUAUACUUUCCACGUCCAUUACUACAUGCAGUAGACAUUGAAUUGUACAUUUCUAUCAACAUCUACUGGGAGGAAACCCCUUAAGAAGUCCAAAUCCACUUUCACUUGAUACAAGAAAUCUACAAAGGCUUCCCUAAUUUCAUCAAUUUAAUGUACCUGCAGUGUCUGUCAAGAACCAAUUCUUCAGAAAUACUCAUGAAUAGUACGGGGGUGAAGGUGGCUAAGUGGGUAAGACGCUGUCUCGCUAGCUUGGAGGUCGGGUCUUCGAUCCCCGCAUUGGCCGAGAAAGUUCAUCCAGAUUUUCCGGCGUGGUUCCCCCUUGUCAGUGAUGCAGGACGGAGGGCUCGACAAUGGCAGCUGUUUAGUCGUUCUGAUGGGAUGAAAAACCGAGGUCCAGUAUACACAUUGGCGUGCACGUAAAAGAUUCCUUGACAGUUGGAAUUCGAUAUAAGAGUAGGCCGUAGUGCCGAUGUCCGGGCAAAAUUUCCCUCAAAGCACACUGUAUGGCGUAUGCCCGUCGUCAUUAGCCCAGUUCGGAGCAAAACAGUAGGAGGUUUAACCCCAUUUCAUUUCAUUUCAUUUCAUGAUUUUAAUUAAUCAGGUAUACAUAUUAGUGAAGUCCUUUUAGCCACAAACUUCCUGUUUCAGCUAUAGUUGUAUGGUUUGCUAUAUCUACAACAAUGUGCAAAAUUAUGUACAUUUUGUCAUGUAUAACGUACCACGAUACCCGAAAGAAUAUUACAUACUUAGGUUCAUUAUGCCAAUCCCUGUAUUAAUUGAGUGUUCAAAUUGUAUUCACUUUUUCCACAAUUUGUUGAAAAUUGCCCAUAUACUGCGAAGCGAUUAUGUCAUUCUUUCCAACCUAGGAAACCCCCAAGAACCAAAUAUUUAGUAAAACAAAAGAAAGUAUUUGUGAAAAAGAACUGGCAUGUUAUUGCACUAAAAGUUUUAUGUGUACCUGCUAUCCGUUUCUUGAGAGAAACUUUAUAUUAUCCAAUGAUUCUGAUAGCCCAACACAUGAAGUUAUCAGAAAAAUGGAGGCUCAUCUAUCUUCAGCAACUAGGUAAUGUUUGAGAAACGCCCUGAGGAAGGAUAUGACGUCAAUACUACUCUUCUUUCCAUGACAGAAGGUGAGAAAAACGAAUAUGCCUUCUGGAUAAUUUGGACCGCUAUCACAGCAUUAUCAAGAUGAUGAUAUUCAGCCAAUUGAGAAUAUCGAAACAUCUGAUGCUAGUGAUGAUGACUGGGAACCUCCUCAUAAUGUUUGACUGACCCCUCAGAAACGAUGGUUCUGUUAUGGCUGAAAAGUACAUCCUUUCAGAUGACUGAAGUCAGAAUGUGAACAUUUUUGUUGGUGAUUCUGAAUUUCACCGUUUUUUCAAAUUUUUUGAAAAUGAUAUUAUAUUGCCUUAAAAUUAUUGAUAAUGUUUAAUUAAUUUUCGAUAUUUAGUGUUGAUUGUUUCAAAUGAAUAUACAAUAUAUGAAA
Molecule: long non-coding RNA, 2346 nt
Organism: Patella vulgata (common limpet)
Lineage: Eukaryota; Metazoa; Mollusca; Gastropoda; Patellidae
Exons: 3
Source: RefSeq, a predicted model, not a curated record